Non-coding RNA from Paramuricea clavata, 71 nucleotides. The record is from the annotation of a GenBank genome assembly. NCBI's taxonomy places the organism in Eukaryota, Metazoa, Cnidaria, Anthozoa, Malacalcyonacea, Plexauridae.
GUAGUCGUGGCCGAGUGGUUAAGGCGACAGACUAGAAUUUUCCCGCGCAGGUUCAAAUCCUGCCGACUACG